Molecule: ribosomal RNA, 453 nt
Filed under: uncultured Basidiomycota
Lineage: Eukaryota; Fungi; Basidiomycota
Description: eukaryotic LSU rRNA
Source: RNAcentral
UGACGUAUGUGUGAAUCAUCGAAUCUUUGAAUGCACAUUGCACCCGUUGGGCCAUCCUGACGGGUCUGGCUGGCUGAGUGGAGCUAAAGUAGUAUAAUAAAAUAUUCGUUUUGUUAUACUCUCGGCCCUUUUCCUUAUAGUUAAUUGGACCGGAUAUUGAGUUGUCCAGAUGAUGUGGUGUUUUGUUCCUAGAGCAAUUAUACGCAUCUAUAUGGUCGCUUAAAAUUCAGACAGAUAGCUGACGACGAAGACGUUAUUAGUGUAGUGAUGACCGGGUAAUAAUACCAUUCCUCAUCUAUCUCUCAAUACGUUUCAUUGUAUAAUAUACAAUAGUCAGAUUUAUUUGUUUUUUGCGCAUUUUGAAUAGAAAGCUUUUUGCUUUUCUUUCUUAUCUCAUCUCCCUCAGAUUAGACAGGAUGACCCGCUGAACUUAAGCAUAUCAAUAAGCGGAGG